Molecule: transfer RNA, 74 nt
Filed under: Cyclobacteriaceae bacterium
Lineage: Bacteria; Pseudomonadati; Bacteroidota; Cytophagia; Cytophagales; Cyclobacteriaceae
Description: tRNA-Arg
Rfam family: tRNA
About the family: Transfer RNA (tRNA) molecules are approximately 80 nucleotides in length. Their secondary structure includes four short double-helical elements and three loops (D, anti-codon, and T loops).
Source: RNAcentral
GGCCGACUAGCUCAACUGAAUAGAGCACCUGACUACGGAUCAGGAGGUUGGGGGUUUGAAUCCCUUGUCGGUCA